UACAGAGGUCUCAAGCGUUGUUCGGAUUCAUUGGGCGUAAAGGGUGUGUAGGUGGCGCCGUAAGUGGGGUGUGAAAUUUCGAGGCUUAACCUCGAAACUGCAUUCCAUACUGCGGUGCUUGAGGACUGGAGAGGAGACUGGAAUUUACGGUGUAGCAGUGAAAUGCGUAGAUAUCGUAAGGAAGACCAGUGGCGAAGGCGGGUCUCUGGACAGUUCCUGACACUGAGACACGAAGGCCAGGGGAGCAAACGG
Molecule: ribosomal RNA, 252 nt
Filed under: uncultured bacterium
Lineage: Bacteria
Description: partial 16S ribosomal RNA
Rfam family: Bacterial small subunit ribosomal RNA
Source: RNAcentral